Molecule: ribosomal RNA, 410 nt
Filed under: uncultured bacterium
Lineage: Bacteria
Description: bacterial SSU rRNA
Rfam family: Bacterial small subunit ribosomal RNA
Source: RNAcentral
AGAGUUUGAUCCUGGCUCAGAACGAACGUUGGCGGCGUGGAUUAGGCAUGCAAGUCGAACGAGAACCUUUGGGCAACUGAAGGGGAAAGUGGCGAAAGGGGCAGUAAGGUAUGGGUAACCUACCCCGGGGAUUGGGAUAGCCUUCCUAACGGAUGGGUAAUACCAGGCGAUCUGGCGAGGACGCGUGUUCUUGCCAGGAAAUGAGUUUCGCCUCGGGAGGGGCUCAUAUAGUAUUAGCUUGUUGGUGGGGUAACGGCCUACCAAGGCAAAGAUGCUUAGCGGGUGUGAGAGCACGACCCGCGCCACUGGCACUGAGACACUGGCCAGACUCCUACGGGAGGCUGCAGUCGAGGAUCUUCGGCAAUGGGCGCAAGCCUGACCGAGCGACGCCGCGUGUGCGAUGAAGGCCU